GGUUAAGCGACUAAGCGUACACGGUGGAUGCCCUGGCAGUCAGAGGCGAUGAAGGACGUGCUAAUCUGCGAUAAGCGUCGGUAAGGUGAUAUGAACCGUUAUAACCGGCGAUUUCCGAAUGGGGAAACCCAGUGUGUUUCGACACACUAUCAUUAACUGAAUCCAUAGGUUAAUGAGGCGAACCGGGGGAACUGAAACAUCUAAGUACCCCGAGGAAAAGAAAUCAACCGAGAUUCCCCCAGUAGCGGCGAGCGAACGGGGAGCAGCCCAGAGCCUGAAUCAGUGUGUGUGUUAGUGGAAGCGUCUGGAAAGGCGCGCGAUACAGGGUGACAGCCCCGUACACAAAAAUGCACAUGCUGUGAGCUCGAUGAGUAGGGCGGGACACGUGGUAUCCUGUCUGAAUAUGGGGGGACCAUCCUCCAAGGCUAAAUACUCCUGACUGACCGAUAGUGAACCAGUACCGUGAGGGAAAGGCGAAAAGAACCCCGGCGAGGGGAGUGAAAAAGAACCUGAAACCGUGUACGUACAAGCAGUGGGAGCACGCUUCGGCGUGUGACUGCGUACCUUUUGUAUAAUGGGUCAGCGACUUAUAUUCUGUAGCAAGGUUAACCGAAUAGGGGAGCCGAAGGGAAACCGAGUCUUAACUGGGCGUUAAGUUGCAGGGUAUAGACCCGAAACCCGGUGAUCUAGCCAUGGGCAGGUUGAAGGUUGGGUAACACUAACUGGAGGACCGAACCGACUAAUGUUGAAAAAUUAGCGGAUGACUUGUGGCUGGGGGUGAAAGGCCAAUCAAACCGGGAGAUAGCUGGUUCUCCCCGAAAGCUAUUUAGGUAGCGCCUCGUGAAUUCAUCUCCGGGGGUAGAGCACUGUUUCGGCAAGGGGGUCAUCCCGACUUACCAACCCGAUGCAAACUGCGAAUACCGGAGAAUGUUAUCACGGGAGACACACGGCGGGUGCUAACGUCCGUCGUGAAGAGGGAAACAACCCAGACCGCCAGCUAAGGUCCCAAAGUCAUGGUUAAGUGGGAAACGAUGUGGGAAGGCCCAGACAGCCAGGAUGUUGGCUUAGAAGCAGCCAUCAUUUAAAGAAAGCGUAAUAGCUCACUGGUCGAGUCGGCCUGCGCGGAAGAUGUAACGGGGCUAAACCAUGCACCGAAGCUGCGGCAGCGACACUAUGUGUUGUUGGGUAGGGGAGCGUUCUGUAAGCCUGUGAAGGUGUACUGUGAGGUAUGCUGGAGGUAUCAGAAGUGCGAAUGCUGACAUAAGUAACGAUAAAGCGGGUGAAAAGCCCGCUCGCCGGAAGACCAAGGGUUCCUGUCCAACGUUAAUCGGGGCAGGGUGAGUCGACCCCUAAGGCGAGGCCGAAAGGCGUAGUCGAUGGGAAACAGGUUAAUAUUCCUGUACUUGGUGUUACUGCGAAGGGGGGACGGAGAAGGCUAUGUUGGCCGGGCGACGGUUGUCCCGGUUUAAGCGUGUAGGCUGGUUUUCCAGGCAAAUCCGGAAAAUCAAGGCUGAGGCGUGAUGACGAGGCACUACGGUGCUGAAGCAACAAAUGCCCUGCUUCCAGGAAAAGCCUCUAAGCAUCAGGUAACAUCAAAUCGUACCCCAAACCGACACAGGUGGUCAGGUAGAGAAUACCAAGGCGCUUGAGAGAACUCGGGUGAAGGAACUAGGCAAAAUGGUGCCGUAACUUCGGGAGAAGGCACGCUGAUAUGUAGGUGAGGUCCCUCGCGGAUGGAGCUGAAAUCAGUCGAAGAUACCAGCUGGCUGCAACUGUUUAUUAAAAACACAGCACUGUGCAAACACGAAAGUGGACGUAUACGGUGUGACGCCUGCCCGGUGCCGGAAGGUUAAUUGAUGGGGUUAGCGGUAACGCGAAGCUCUUGAUCGAAGCCCCGGUAAACGGCGGCCGUAACUAUAACGGUCCUAAGGUAGCGAAAUUCCUUGUCGGGUAAGUUCCGACCUGCACGAAUGGCGUAAUGAUGGCCAGGCUGUCUCCACCCGAGACUCAGUGAAAUUGAACUCGCUGUGAAGAUGCAGUGUACCCGCGGCAAGACGGAAAGACCCCGUGAACCUUUACUAUAGCUUGACACUGAACAUUGAGCCUUGAUGUGUAGGAUAGGUGGGAGGCUUUGAAGUGUGGACGCCAGUCUGCAUGGAGCCGACCUUGAAAUACCACCCUUUAAUGUUUGAUGUUCUAACGUUGACCCGUAAUCCGGGUUGCGGACAGUGUCUGGUGGGUAGUUUGACUGGGGCGGUCUCCUCCUAAAGAGUAACGGAGGAGCACGAAGGUUGGCUAAUCCUGGUCGGACAUCAGGAGGUUAGUGCAAUGGCAUAAGCCAGCUUGACUGCGAGCGUGACGGCGCGAGCAGGUGCGAAAGCAGGUCAUAGUGAUCCGGUGGUUCUGAAUGGAAGGGCCAUCGCUCAACGGAUAAAAGGUACUCCGGGGAUAACAGGCUGAUACCGCCCAAGAGUUCAUAUCGACGGCGGUGUUUGGCACCUCGAUGUCGGCUCAUCACAUCCUGGGGCUGAAGUAGGUCCCAAGGGUAUGGCUGUUCGCCAUUUAAAGUGGUACGCGAGCUGGGUUUAGAACGUCGUGAGACAGUUCGGUCCCUAUCUGCCGUGGGCGCUGGAGAACUGAGGGGGGCUGCUCCUAGUACGAGAGGACCGGAGUGGACGCAUCACUGGUGUUCGGGUUGUCAUGCCAAUGGCACUGCCCGGUAGCUAAAUGCGGAAGAGAUAAGUGCUGAAAGCAUCUAAGCACGAAACUUGCCCCGAGAUGAGUUCUCCCUGACUCCUUGAGAGUCCUGAAGGAACGUUGAAGACGACGACGUUGAUAGGCCGGGUGUGUAAGCGCAGCGAUGCGUUGAGCUAACCGGUACUAAUGAACCGUGAGGCUUAACCUU
RNAcentral lists this ribosomal RNA (2905 nucleotides) under Escherichia coli. Its description in RNAcentral is "23S ribosomal RNA". It matches the Rfam family "Bacterial large subunit ribosomal RNA". The record is from RNAcentral. Lineage: Bacteria; Pseudomonadati; Pseudomonadota; Gammaproteobacteria; Enterobacterales; Enterobacteriaceae.